Molecule: long non-coding RNA, 688 nt
Organism: Chiloscyllium plagiosum (whitespotted bambooshark)
Lineage: Eukaryota; Metazoa; Chordata; Chondrichthyes; Orectolobiformes; Hemiscylliidae
Source: RefSeq, a predicted model, not a curated record
GGGUGUGUUGUUGUGUAUGUUGGACUGUCACUUUAAGAGUUCAAUCACAUGAUAUGAUAAUGAUGUCAUCAGCCAGUUUGGAAGGAAAUAGUUCAGCCCAGUUUGCUUCCUUGUAAACAUCUCUUAAAUAAAUACUGUUGCUGUUUUAGAUGCUGUAGCCCGUUGCCCUUUUUGAAGUGUAAAAGUUCAAGUCAUAAGAUGAGGAAAAAUGCUGGUCAUCAAUAAGGAGGAACUUCAUAGAAAAUAAUAAUCUGAUCUUUCCAUUAAUGAUCAGAAAGAUCCAAAAAGGAUUUGGAAGUUACUGAAAACCAAUUUGAGGCAGCCUUCUCACUCGCGCCUUCAACUGACAACUUGAACACCGCAGUAUUUAACAAGAAAUUGAAUCAACUGUUGAUAUUCACGUGGCCAUUCGAUUGAACAAGUAUAUUUGAGUUGAACAAUGGAUUAUAUUUGGCUUCAACUGGCCACUGGGAGCAAGCAAAUGAGAUUUCAGAAGUCUGCGGUAGAAGAAUGUAGAAGUGGCAAGAAUUAUUAUGAAGCAAACAUUGUACCGAUAUACAUUUAAGGAGAAGUGAUGAUGCAGCAGUAAAGUCACUGGACAAGUGAUUCUGAGACCAAGUCUAAUGUUCUGGAGACAUGGGUUUGAAUCCUGAUAUAGCAGAUGGAGAAACAUAAAUUCAAUAAAAUC